CUGAUGACUGCCUCUACUGCAUG
RNAcentral lists this non-coding RNA (23 nucleotides) under Cricetulus griseus (Chinese hamster). The record is from RNAcentral. Lineage: Eukaryota; Metazoa; Chordata; Mammalia; Rodentia; Cricetidae.